AGUGAACGCUGGCGGUAGGCCUAACACAUGCAAGUCGAACGGCAGCACAGUAAGAGCUUGCUCUUACGGGUGGCGAGUGGCGGACGGGUGAGGAAUACAUCGGAAUCUACUUUUUCGUGGGGGAUAACGUAGGGAAACUUACGCUAAUACCGCAUACGACCUACGGGUGAAAGCAGGGGAUCUUCGGACCUUGCGCGAUUGAAUGAGCCGAUGUCGGAUUAGCUAGUUGGCGGGGUAAGGCCCACCAAGGCGACGAUCCGUAGCUGGUCUGAGAGGAUGAUCACCCACACUGGAACUGAGACACGGUCCAGACUCCUACGGGAGGCAGCAGUGGGGAAUAUUGGACAAUGGGCGCAAGCCUGAUCCAGCCAUACCGCGUGGGUGAAGAAGGCCUUCGGGUUGUAAAGCCCUUUUGUUGGGAAAGAAAAGCAGCAGGUUAAUACCCCGCUGUUCUGACGGUACCCAAAGAAUAAGCACCGGCUAACUUCGUG
This 491-nucleotide ribosomal RNA is filed under the name uncultured bacterium. RNAcentral's name for it is "partial 16S ribosomal RNA". It matches the Rfam family "Bacterial small subunit ribosomal RNA", at positions 29 to 507 of the family's 1533-position model. The record is from RNAcentral.